This 334-nucleotide ribosomal RNA is filed under the name uncultured eukaryote. RNAcentral describes it as "partial 18S ribosomal RNA". It matches the Rfam family "Eukaryotic small subunit ribosomal RNA", at positions 1470 to 1796 of the family's 1831-position model. The record is from RNAcentral.
CCCUUAGAUGUCCGGGGCCGCACGCGCGCUACACUGAAGGAAUCAGCGUGGCUUUCUCCCUGACCCGAAAGGGUUGGGAAACCCGUUGAAUCUCCUUCGUGAUAGGGAUUGGGGCUUGAAAUUGUUCCCCAUGAACGAGGAAUUCCCAGUAAGCGCGAGUCAUAAGCUCGCGUUGAUUACGUCCCUGCCCUUUGUACACACCGCCCGUCGCUACGACCGAUUGAACGGUUUAGUGAGGGCCUCGGAUUGGUCUCGGCCCGCUCUUUACCGGGCGGCGCCGUUGGUCGAGAAGACGCUCGAACUUGAUCGUUUAGAGGAAGUAAAAGUCGUAACA